This 253-nucleotide ribosomal RNA is filed under the name uncultured bacterium. RNAcentral's name for it is "partial 16S ribosomal RNA". It matches the Rfam family "Bacterial small subunit ribosomal RNA", at positions 524 to 776 of the family's 1533-position model. The record is from RNAcentral.
UACGAAGGGGGCUAGCGUUGCUCGGAAUCACUGGGCGUAAAGCGCACGUAGGCCGAUUGUUAAGUCAGGGGUGAAAUCCUGGAGCUCAACUCCAGAACUGCCUUUGAUACUGGCGAUCUCGAGUCCGGGAGAGGUGAGUGGAACUGCGAGUGUAGAGGUGAAAUUCGUAGAUAUUCGCAAGAACACCAGUGGCGAAGGCGGCUCACUGGCCCGGUACUGACGCUGAGGUGCGAAAGCGUGGGGAGCAAACAGG